UCGGGAUAGCUCAGCUGGUGAGCAGAGAACUGAAA
Molecule: transfer RNA, 35 nt
Filed under: Streptocarpus nobilis
Lineage: Eukaryota; Viridiplantae; Streptophyta; Magnoliopsida; Lamiales; Gesneriaceae
Description: partial tRNA-Phe
Source: RNAcentral